Molecule: small nucleolar RNA, 104 nt
Organism: Otolemur garnettii (small-eared galago)
Lineage: Eukaryota; Metazoa; Chordata; Mammalia; Primates; Galagidae
Source: Ensembl
CUCCCUUUGUAGUUCCUAAGCCUGACGACUAGGUUUCCAUGCUCAUGUAGGAAGUGUGCCGCCCUCACACCGUGUCAGGACAUCAGUACAGUGUCCCCAUGUUA